This 468-nucleotide ribosomal RNA is filed under the name uncultured bacterium. RNAcentral describes it as "partial 16S ribosomal RNA". It matches the Rfam family "Bacterial small subunit ribosomal RNA", at positions 28 to 507 of the family's 1533-position model. The record is from RNAcentral.
GACGAACGCUGGCGGCGUGCUUAACACAUGCAAGUCGAACGGAAAGGCCCUGCUUUUGUGGUGUUCUCGAGUGGCGAACGGGUGCGUAACACGUGAGUAACCUGCCCUUGACUUUGGGAUAACUUCAGGAAACUGGGGCUACUAUCGGAUAGGAGCUCCUGCUGCAUGGUGGGGGUUGGAAAGUUUCGGCGGUUGGGGAUGGACUCGCGGCUUAUCAGCUUGUUGGUUGGGUAGUGGCUUACCAAGGCUUUGACGGGUAGCCGGCCUGAGAGGGUGACCGGCCACAUUGGGACUGAGAUACGGCCCAGACUGCUACGGGAGGCAGCAGGGGGGAAUAUUGCACAAUGGGCGGAAGCCUGAUGCAGAAACGCCGCGUGCGGGAUGACGGCCUUCGGGUUGUAAACAGCUGUAGCCUGUGACGAAGCGGGAGUGACGGUAAUGGGUAAAGAAGCACCGGCUAACUACGUG